This 253-nucleotide ribosomal RNA is filed under the name uncultured bacterium. Its description in RNAcentral is "partial 16S ribosomal RNA". It matches the Rfam family "Bacterial small subunit ribosomal RNA", at positions 524 to 776 of the family's 1533-position model. The record is from RNAcentral.
UACGUAGCGUGCAAGCGUUAAUCGGAAUUACUGGGCGUAAAGCGUGCGCAGGCGGUUUUGUAAGUCUGACGUGAAAUCCCCGGGCUCAACCUGGGAAUUGCGUUGGAGACUGCAAGGCUAGAAUCUGGCAGAGGGGGGUAGAAUUCCACGUGUAGCAGUGAAAUGCGUAGAGAUGUGGAGGAACACCGAUGGCGAAGGCAGCCCCCUGGGUCAAGAUUGACGCUCAUGCACGAAAGCGUGGGGAGCAAACAGG